RNAcentral lists this ribosomal RNA (455 nucleotides) under Chryseobacterium sp. LPA24. RNAcentral's name for it is "bacterial SSU rRNA". It matches the Rfam family "Bacterial small subunit ribosomal RNA", at positions 23 to 478 of the family's 1533-position model. The record is from RNAcentral. Lineage: Bacteria; Pseudomonadati; Bacteroidota; Flavobacteriia; Flavobacteriales; Weeksellaceae.
CUCAGGAUGAACGCUAGCGGGAGGCCUAACACAUGCAAGCCGAGCGGUAGAGAUCUUUCGGGAUCUUGAGAGCGGCGUACGGGUGCGGAACACGUGUGCAACCUGCCUUUAUCUGGGGGAUAGCCUUUCGAAAGGAAGAUUAAUACCCCAUAAUAUAUCGAGUGGCAUCAUUUGAUAUUGAAAACUCCGGUGGAUAGAGAUGGGCACGCGCAAGAUUAGAUAGUUGGUGAGGUAACGGCUCACCAAGUCUGCGAUCUUUAGGGGGCCUGAGAGGGUGAUCCCCCACACUGGUACUGAGACACGGACCAGACUCCUACGGGAGGCAGCAGUGAGGAAUAUUGGACAAUGGGUGAGAGCCUGAUCCAGCCAUCCCGCGUGAAGGACGACGGCCCUAUGGGUUGUAAACUUCUUUUGUAUAGGGAUAAACCUACUCUCGUGAGAGUAGCUGAAGGUAC